RNAcentral lists this non-coding RNA (53 nucleotides) under unclassified sequences. The record is from RNAcentral.
CUAGCCUGUUUCGGUCGCUGCCAAUUCAGCGAUCGGGUCUGGAAACCCGGAUG